AAUUGAAGAGUCUGAUCAUGGCUCAGAUUGAACGUUGGCGGCAGGUCUCAUACAUGCAAGUCGAACGAAGAUACGACUUUGGUCGUUGACAAGUGGCGGACGGGUGAGUAACGCGUAGGAAUCUACCUAGUAGUGGGGAACAACUUGGGGAAACCCGAGUUAAUACCGCAUACGACCUAAGGGUGAAAGCGGGGGAUUUUCGAACCUCGCGCUAUUAGAGGAGCCUGCGUUGGAUUAGCUUGUUGGUGGGGUAACGGCCUACCAAGGCGACGAUCCAUAGCUGGUCUGAGAGGAUGAUCAGCCACACUGGAACUG
RNAcentral lists this ribosomal RNA (315 nucleotides) under Gammaproteobacteria bacterium. Its description in RNAcentral is "bacterial SSU rRNA". It matches the Rfam family "Bacterial small subunit ribosomal RNA", at positions 1 to 321 of the family's 1533-position model. The record is from RNAcentral. Lineage: Bacteria; Pseudomonadati; Pseudomonadota; Gammaproteobacteria.